GUGUCAGCCGCCGCGGUAAUACGUAGGGGGCAAGCGUUGUUCGGAAUUACUGGGCGUAAAGGGCGCGUAGGCGGCAUGGCAAGUCGGGAGUGAAAGCCCGGGGCUCAACCCCGGAACUGCUUUCGAAACUGCCAAGCUAGAGUGCGGAAGAGGCAACUGGAAUUCCCAGUGUAGCGGUGAAAUGCGUAGAUAUUGGGAAGAACACCGGAGGCGAAGGCGGGUUGCUGGGCCGACACUGACGCUGAUGCGCGAAAGCCAGGGGAGCGAACGGGAUUAGAUACCCCUGUAGUCC
This 292-nucleotide ribosomal RNA is filed under the name uncultured bacterium. RNAcentral describes it as "partial 16S ribosomal RNA". It matches the Rfam family "Bacterial small subunit ribosomal RNA", at positions 505 to 796 of the family's 1533-position model. The record is from RNAcentral.